AAAGCAAAAAAACUUUAUAAGAUAUAAAAAGUUAUUUAAGAAUAAUGGUUGAUUUGUGUUUAUUUUGAGCUGCCUUUCAUAAUUAAAUGAAUUUAAAUAGGUUUUAUUUUGCAAUUAAUUACAAAAUUAAAUUCUAAAGCCAACUGCGAUUGCUAAAGUGACACCAUAAACAAUGUAAAAGAAGACUGGAGUAUACUGACGGAUAUCGGAAGAGCACACAGAAAUACAAGCUGACGCAGGAGUUAAAGACUAAAGAUGCCAUUGAUGAAAUUACGGGCAAUGAAGAUGCCACGACCGGUCAGAGUUCUGACUCUGAUGCUCUCUAUAUUGACCAUGGCAGCCCUUGUAAAGUACAAAAUCAGGAAAAGGAGGGAAAAUCCAUAAAAGAAGAUGUUAAGGAUCAUAUCUUCUCCAAGGACCAGAUUGCACCAGAAUCCAAGGAAUGUACUGAUGUUGAAUGUUUGUUUAAACCAUAAUCAGACAUGAUCAUUAUGCAUAUAAUUUUGCAUUUUUCCAGACUUUUUAAUGUAAAAUCAUCAAAUGUAUGAGGAUUGAAAUCAGUUCAGGUUUUGUUUCUUAUGCUGUUUUUCAAUAUUUAUUUACAUAAGAUGGUAUGUGGUGAACUGAUGUAGUGGCAUAUAGUUUUAAAUCUUAUAUUUAGCAGAAUCUUGUAAAAUGAUUGUGUACAUUUAAAAUGAUGAAAUGUCUCUUUGCAUUCCAGAAGCGAAGUCAGGGAGAAAUGUGCCAAAAAAGCCGGGACGAUGCGAUCGACGCACUUCCCCAAUUCCAAAUCCAAAUAAUAAUCCACCACAAAUGAAGAAGCAUCAAAACAUGGAGUGAAGAAGAAAAAGAGGCGGAGCACAAGUAUCUCAUUUGAGCAUAUCUGAACCAGAUCUAAAACAAAGAUCAUGGAAGGACGUAAAACAUUUUGUAUAUAAUUCUGUCCCGAAACAAAAAAGGUUAUUUGGCAAAUGUGCAGUAAUUGUGAAACUGAACCAAGGGAACCAGGUUUGUUCUUUUGCACUAUAUUGGUGGCCUUUUAAGUUACCAGUGCACUAAUAUUAUUUUGCAUAUAUUUUCUGGCUAUAUUUUUUUCUUUUUCCUGAUUUUUUAAGAAAAUGCACUAAUUUGAAUACUGUAUAUUUUAGACUGAAAUAGCACUGCCUAAUUCUGUUCCGUCAGUUGUACUCAUGUUCAUUUUGUUUUACUCAAGUACAUUUGUUGCUGCUCUCCAACAUCCACAUCUGCAUUAUAUAUGAUUACUAUAGACAAGAAUGUCUUUCCUUUGUUUUCUGUUCUUUGUGCAGAACAAAGUCUGCAAUGUUUUUGUCAUCUGAAAUAUGCUAUUAUGCAAUGAUUUGCUAAUUGUAAUUUCAAGCCACUCGAUUAAUCAUUAGUGUAAACAACUAGUGGUCAUUAUGUGUGUGUAUAUAAUACAUACAUUACUUAGACAGUGUGAGCCACUGCACUUGAUUGAGGGCAAAAACCUCUUCUGUGUGGAGAGGGUAAUACUGUACUUGACAGUGGUUUGUUGUACUAAUUAUGUACUGUUAUGGAUUGUAUU
This is a long non-coding RNA of Hemibagrus wyckioides, 1564 nucleotides long. RefSeq lists it as uncharacterized. The record is from RefSeq and is a predicted model, not a curated record. The transcript has 4 exons. NCBI's taxonomy places the organism in Eukaryota, Metazoa, Chordata, Actinopteri, Siluriformes, Bagridae.